Molecule: ribosomal RNA, 501 nt
Filed under: uncultured bacterium
Lineage: Bacteria
Description: partial 16S ribosomal RNA
Rfam family: Bacterial small subunit ribosomal RNA
Source: RNAcentral
AUUGAACGCUGGCGGCAUGCCUUACACAUGCAAGUCGAACGGCAGCACGGGUGCUUGCACCUGGUGGCGAGUGGCGAACGGGUGAGUAAUACAUCGGAACGUACCUUAUCGUGGGGGAUAACGCAGCGAAAGCUGUGCUAAUACCGCAUACGCCCUGAGGGGGAAAGCGGGGGAUCGCAAGACCUCGCGCGAUUAGAGCGGCCGAUGCCUGAUUAGCUUGUUGGUGGGGUGAAAGCCCACCAAGGCGACGAUCAGUAGCUGGUCUGAGAGGACGAUCAGCCACACUGGGACUGCGACACGGGCCAGACUCCUGCGGGAGGGAGCAGUGGGGAAUUUUGGACAAUGGGUGCAACCCUGAUCCAGCAAUGGCUCGUGAGUGAAGAAGGCCUUCGGGUUGGAAAGCUCUUUUGUCAGGGAAGAAACACCGGCUCUAACACAGUCUGGGAAUGACGGUACCUGAAGAAUAAGCACCGGCUAACCACGUGCCAGCCGCCGCAGUAA